RNAcentral lists this long non-coding RNA (395 nucleotides) under Nicotiana benthamiana. RNAcentral's name for it is "long non-coding RNA (NBEN_LNC006170)". The record is from RNAcentral. Lineage: Eukaryota; Viridiplantae; Streptophyta; Magnoliopsida; Solanales; Solanaceae.
AUACAAGUUUAGGCUCAGAAUGUGUGUUCAUGUGAUGAUAAUUGAUAAUAGGUGAAUUUAACUAUAUUCAGGUCCUAAAUAACCACUUUUUUGUAUAGUUUUAAUAAUGAAAGUGAUAACAAAAUGCUAUUAUUAGUGUUUUUCUUGAUGUGUAGGCUAUAUAUGACUAGAAAAGGUUAGGGAGCACUUUUGGAGUCAAUAAUGAAGGAAAAGAGGCCAACUGUGAAAACUCCCAAGUAAACCACGUGGAAGAAGGCCGAAGAAUCGGAGAAGGGCGUCUGCCGCGGUUCCACCGCGGCAGAACCGCGAUGGAAGGGAGCUGCAGAAAAAAGUGGUUUCCGCGGGGGUGUUUGGCCGCGGUUCUACAACGACCGCGGUGGGUGUGCUGAUGAUCA